This 638-nucleotide non-coding RNA is filed under the name Trichoderma reesei QM6a. RNAcentral describes it as "Eukaryotic large subunit ribosomal RNA". It matches the Rfam family "Eukaryotic large subunit ribosomal RNA", at positions 2831 to 2984 of the family's 3401-position model. The record is from Rfam by way of RNAcentral. Lineage: Eukaryota; Fungi; Ascomycota; Sordariomycetes; Hypocreales; Hypocreaceae.
UAGCUUGUGGCGGCCAAGCGCUCAUACUUAGGUAGCGACGUCGCUUUUUAAUCCUUCGAUGUCGGCUCUUCCUAUCAUACCUACCGAAGCAGAAUUCGGUAAGCGUUAGAUUGUUCACCCACUAAACAUAAAGGUAUUAUGUUUGCAAUAUUGAACCUAUUGGUGGGGAUAGUCGGGUCCUGAGGGAGGGUUCAGGAUGACGCCGGCUAGUCGAUACAGCGCACAAAGCUGCAGGUGCUGUACGGCGACACAACCUGGUUCGGGGAAGGCUAAGGGCUCUCUCCAGUGAGUGCUGCCUAUGCUAAUCCCGAGGGGAGCUGCGUGAGAGUGAUCUCACGAUAGCCCUCGUAGAGCGCGGUAAAGGUGUGGGUGGUCUCGCUCUGUCGAGAUCGCUUCAGGGGCGUGCCAGCCCCACGGGAAACCGUGCCCAUUUGCAAAAGGACCUGCAGUCCCGAUCUUAUGGGGGGCGUUCGAGCUUAACGCGGAAAUGCUUGAGCGAUGCCUGGUAGUAUCCUAAUCAUAUAAUGGGGACGAUACAAACCACAAGGGCAGCCGGGCCGUGUGCGCAUUCAGAAUGCAUAAUGUGAUUAGAGCGAAUAGGGAAUGUGAGCUGGGUUUAGACCGUCGUGAGACAGGUU